CAAAACUACUAAUGACGCACCACCAGCUGGUGCGCCAUUAGUAACCAGGGUUACUAAUGGCGCAUUUGUAGGUGGUGCGCCAUUAGUAACCUGGCGAGUGACCAGUCACAAAUGCACAUGUAUCAUGCCCACGCGAGAUCCGCAUGCCGAGAUUCCCCAGAUCUCUCUCCCUCUCUCGCGCGCCAAUGGCAUCGGUGGACUCCGGCGAGGGGCACGCGCCCGUGCCCAGGGCCAGCAUCUCGCACGUCAUCUUCGACAUGGACGGCCUCCUCGGUAUCCGCUCCCCACCUCUCCUCGAUUCUUGUGUUAGGGAAAUCUCUCCCGGAUCACUCAAACACACACGCGAUCUCGUGGACUUGAAGAACUCAAGAACACAUACGAACGCGAGCACACAGAAGACGGCAGUUUUG
This 410-nucleotide long non-coding RNA is filed under the name Hordeum vulgare. RNAcentral's name for it is "long non-coding RNA (HVUL_LNC000155)". Lineage: Eukaryota; Viridiplantae; Streptophyta; Magnoliopsida; Poales; Poaceae. The record is from RNAcentral.